GUAAGGGCUCGCAGGCGGUUUCUUAAGUCUGAUGUGAAAGCCCCCGGCUCAACCGGGGAGGGUCAUUGGAAACUGGGGAACUUGAGUGCAGAAGAGGAGAGUGGAAUUCCACGUGUAGCGGUGAAAUGCGUAGAGAUGUGGAGGAACACCAGUGGCGAAGGCGACUCUCUGGUCUGUAACUGACGCUGAGGAGCGAAAGCGUGGGGAGCGAACAGGAUUAGAUACCCUGGUAGUCCACGCCGUAAACGAUGAGUGCUAAGUGUUAGGGGGUUUCCGCCCCUUAGUGCUGCAGCUAACGCAUUAAGCACUCCGCCUGGGGAGUACGGUCGCAAGACUGAAACUCAAAGGAAUUGGCGGGGGAGCACAG
RNAcentral lists this ribosomal RNA (367 nucleotides) under Bacillus subtilis. Its description in RNAcentral is "bacterial SSU rRNA". It matches the Rfam family "Bacterial small subunit ribosomal RNA", at positions 561 to 926 of the family's 1533-position model. The record is from RNAcentral. Lineage: Bacteria; Bacillati; Bacillota; Bacilli; Caryophanales; Bacillaceae.